This 295-nucleotide long non-coding RNA is filed under the name Phaseolus vulgaris (common bean). RNAcentral describes it as "long non-coding RNA (PVUL_LNC003519)". Lineage: Eukaryota; Viridiplantae; Streptophyta; Magnoliopsida; Fabales; Fabaceae. The record is from RNAcentral.
AUUAAAUCAAAUACAUACAUACCAAGGGUUCUAGACACCAGUCAGAGAACGAAAAAUUCACUGAAGGUAUCUUUGAAACAUUCCAGGACCAAACCUUAAGUUGUGCUGGGGAAAAAACUUCAGAAUGAUCAACCACACCACCUUUAAAUAAACAAUUAUUCCUGUGUCUCCAAAUUUCACUAACCAAUGCAAUCCAAACAUUACCCAUAAUAAAAUUAACUGAAGUAGAUGCAUCUAAGAUUUUGAAAUAUUCAAAAUGUGACCCAGGGAUGUUAUGAUCAACCAAACUCACUCC